UACGUAGGGCGCAAGCGUUAUCCGGAAUUAUUGGGCGUAAAGAGCUUGUAGGCGGUUUGUCGCGUCUGCUGUGAAAAUCCGGGGCUCAACCCCGGACUUGCAGUGGGUACGGGCAGACUAGAGUGUGGUAGGGGAGACUGGAAUUCCUGGUGUAGCGGUGGAAUGCGCAGAUAUCAGGAGGAACACCGAUGGCGAAGGCAGGUCUCUGGGCCACUACUGACGCUGAGAAGCGAAAGCAUGGGGAGCGAACAGG
Molecule: ribosomal RNA, 253 nt
Filed under: uncultured bacterium
Lineage: Bacteria
Description: partial 16S ribosomal RNA
Rfam family: Bacterial small subunit ribosomal RNA
Source: RNAcentral